This 864-nucleotide long non-coding RNA is filed under the name Sparus aurata (gilthead seabream). Its description in RNAcentral is "lncRNA (ENSSAUG00010022308.1)". The record is from RNAcentral. Lineage: Eukaryota; Metazoa; Chordata; Actinopteri; Spariformes; Sparidae.
AAUAAACCAAAUGACAUGACUGAAAUAAAAUGAAAUAAGUGUAUAUUUAUAUUAUAAGUGGGAAACAUAUUGACGCUCUAUGUUCUCUGUUUCUUGCAGCCUGAUUUUGACUCUGACUUUGACAUUCUGGACUGACGGCACCGGGCGGGCGGGUGCUCUACAUACAGACCAGAAAUAAGAGAAUGUGUUUGAAGUUUUUUUUUUCUGGAGAAGCAGCAGCAUCCUCAUCGGUGUCGCGGGCUGCACCACCUUUGCUCCUUGUGCGACGGUGAAACAGAGCUCCAUUUUGGGGAUUAGGGUCGACUGGUGGUUCAUUGGGUGGCUCUGGACCUUGAGCCAGAUCUGGAGCUGCAUGAUAAAGACAGAAGGACGAUCAGCAGGAUGGUGGAGGACAUGACUGGACUGAAAAACAAAGAUAAGCUGUGUUGUCAUGAUCAGAGAGUCACAGCAGGGUGAGCGGGUGUGACUGUGUUCUUUUUAAAACGUGAAAUGCAAAUAUAGAAAAACAUAAUGAGGAAGUAUUAGAUAAUAUUACAAAAGUCUCGAUCGUAUCAUCAGUUUCCUGUUUCCCUCCAUCCCAAUAAAUGUGACUGUUUGUAAAUUAAAGAGCACCUACCAGAUCAAAUCGUCUCACAGCUCAGCUGUUCCUCCACUGCACACCUUCACCUGUGACGCUGUGAACAGAAAGCCGGCAGCUCAAAUAUGCAAGUGUGCCGUCUGAAGGAGGAGCCACUCCUUCAUUAUCUGCAGCGACUGUAAACAGGCAGGACUGGACUUUGUGUUUACUGGAAGUCAGUAACAGUCAUGUCAAUUUAAACAGUUUACAAUAAAGGAGUCGACAUUAGUUCCCCCAUAAAAAUCACU